This is a non-coding RNA of Delitschia confertaspora ATCC 74209, 84 nucleotides long. The record is from the annotation of a GenBank genome assembly. Lineage: Eukaryota; Fungi; Ascomycota; Dothideomycetes; Pleosporales; Delitschiaceae.
GGCCUACUGGCGCAAUGGUAGCGCGUCAGAUUCCAGAUUUUCGGAAUGUCCUGAAGGUUAGCCGUUCAAAUCGGCUGUGGGUCA